GAUGAACGCUAGCUACAGGCUUAACACAUGCAAGUCGAGGGGUAACGAGAGGAAAGCUUGCUUUCCUUGUUGACGACCGGCGCACGGGUGAGUAACGCGUAUCCAACCUGCCCCCAACUAGGGAAUAACCUUGCGAAAGUAAGACUAAUACCCUAUAAUUUCCUCAGAUGUCAUCUGGCGAGGAAUAAAGAUUUAUCGGUUGUGGAUGGGGAUGCGUCUGAUUAGCUUGUUGGCGGGGUAACGGCCCACCAAGGCAACGAUCAGUAGGGGUUCUGAGAGGAAGGUCCCCCACAUUGGAACUGAGACACGGUCCAAACUCCUACGGGAGGCAGCAGUGAGGAAUAUUGGUCAAUGGGCGGAAGCCUGAACCAGCCAAGUAGCGUGCAGGAUGACGGCCCUAUGGGUUGUAAACUGCUUUUAUACAGGAAUAAAGUUAGCCACGUGUGGUUAUUUGUAGGUACUGUAUGAAUAAGGACCGGCUAAUUCCGUGCCAGCCGCCGCGGUAA
RNAcentral lists this ribosomal RNA (506 nucleotides) under uncultured bacterium. RNAcentral describes it as "partial 16S ribosomal RNA". It matches the Rfam family "Bacterial small subunit ribosomal RNA", at positions 28 to 523 of the family's 1533-position model. The record is from RNAcentral.